This is an RNA transcript of Dreissena polymorpha, 4063 nucleotides long. It is a transcript of the gene named transmembrane protein 209-like, with no coding region annotated. The transcript has 18 exons. NCBI's taxonomy places the organism in Eukaryota, Metazoa, Mollusca, Bivalvia, Myida, Dreissenidae. The record is from RefSeq and is a predicted model, not a curated record.
UCGAAUGCAAGCGUCUAUUGAUGUAGAUGAAUUUAGCGAGAUGGGCCAGCCCGAAAGCCCCUCCCCCUUGCCCCAAGGAAAGACAUCCACAGAAAUUCUUGAGAAAUCCUGGAAAAAACGUCUGUCAUACCGAGAUGUCAGACAUUCUCAGAAGUCCACUGUGUUCUGCAUUGUUGCGAUUGUUGCAAUAUAUAUUGAAAUGAACACACACAUAUUUGAAACGAUUUUCAAGACCAACACAUCAGUUUUUUGGUAUAUAGAAAGUUGGUUGCUGAUAAUCUUUGUGUUAGCUGUGAUUGUUGAUUGCACAAGAUUCCUGUGGUACAAGUGGUUCAAUACACAAGUCCCAGUGACAGAGACACAGAAACGUCUACUGGGGGUCAGGGAUAAUGAUCCCGGUUUCACACUGUCACCCAUCAGGAGCCCAGGCGCAGCCAGCAGUGAGCCCAGCCUUGUGUUCUCCAGCAGCACCCCAUCCAGCAGUCACACUGCCUACACCCCAGGGUCCAUCCCAUCCAGCCCCUGGGGUAGCGGAGGUCAGCUGACCCCCACAAAUCUGGGCUCCUUGUCGGACUCAGCUCAUGGGUAUGGCGCCGGAAACUCAAGCCACUCUUUCCUGUCAAACAGUGGACAUGCAUCUUAUGAUAGGCACAGCACAAGCCUGCCAAUAAUGGGCAGCAACGCAAGCAGCUUGAACAUGUCGUCACUUUCAAACGCAUCGUUCCACAGCGGGGCAUACUCACCUGGGGCAUCCCUGUCUAGUCUGGACUGGAGUGGACUGCGGUCUAGACUCUCGCUGUCAUCAUCCGUUAGAUCACCAUCACCCUCAGACAAGAUGACAGAUCUCCAGUCACUGUCCAUGUAUCUGAAGGACCAGGAAGACAAGGAAUUCAAGGCUUCCUUGAGUUCACAGGUGGACGCAUCGUUCAACAGCUCCUCGUUCUGGAGUUAUGGCCGUCCCAGCCUGGAGAUUGGUAACCUUGGUAACCUGCUGCGCAAGAGCCAGUAUCAGCUGGCCAGUCGCUCCCCCCAGUCACACAAGUCACGCACCGACGACACAGAUAACAUGGGAGAAGAGGUGUGGCGUCCAUUAGGAGUAACAGAUGACAAGUUGUUUAUGUGGAUUGAAAGGCUAAGAAAGUGGCUGGGCAACACGAUUAUGGUGAAGCUGGCAAGGGAGAUAGACAGUGUGAACUCACAGCUGAGGAAGAUAGGUUGUGAAGACACAGAGAUUGGAGAGGUGGGAGUAUCCACAUUGAAGCAGCUGGCCCUAACCAAGGGCCCUUAUGUCCCCACAUUGAACAUCCUGGUGCCUUACCUGGAUUUCUCAUCCAACCAAGAGUACCUCAUAAAGCGUAUCAAAGAGCUCGGUGGUGAUGGUUGCAUCAGUGAGUAUGUCUGGAACAAGGGCGGGACAGGGGGCCAGUACGGGAAACAGUGGAGUGAGCACCUGCCCACUGACGCACAGCUGGUGAUGCACAUGUUCUGCACUUACAUGGACUCCAGACUUCCUCCUGACCUAAAGUACCCUGAUGGAAAAACGUUCACCAGUCAGCAUGUUGUUGUAACACCCGACAAACCAGAUCUCGGCAAGGACAACCUGUUGCUGUACCAGUCCAGCAUCAGCCCACCUCACUUUCAUGUGGUUGUCAAGGAUACCAUAUACAGUCUCCCUAAGGGCCGUAACAACAUGUUCCAUGCAAUCCUCUACUUCCUUCAUCAUAUCCGGUACAAGGGCAACGGAAUGCUGGGGAGAGUCAACCUUGGCAUGUCAGGAGUCAACAUUCUCAGUGUCCUCGAUGAAUGAAAAGGAUUUUUCACUACCAGAGUAAUAGAUUGUCCAUCAUGAAAUGUGAACAGGACGUAAUACCAAUUUUCUAAAGAAAUUUGUUGUACAAUGUUUUAGAGAUUGUUGUAAGAAGGGCAUUGGAAUUAGUUUAAUGAAAUUUGUUAUCAGAUUGAAAAUAGAAUCCUAAAACUGAACAACGAUGAGUCAGCAGUUUUUAAUACUGAACCAUGAUGAGUCAGCAAGUUUGAAUAAUGAACCAUGAUGAGUAAGCAGUUUUGAAAACUUAGCCGUGAUGUGUCAGCAGUUUUGAAUACUGAACCAUGAUGAGUCAGCAAGUUUGAAUACUGAACUAUGAUGAGCCAGCAAGUUUGAAUACUCAACCAUGAUCGGUCAGCAGUUUUAAAUACUGAACCAUGAUGAGUCAGCUUUUUGAAUACUGAACCAUGAUGGGUCAGCAAGUUUGAAUACUGAACAACGAUGAGUCAGCAGUUUUGAAUACUGAACCAUGAUGAGUCAGCAAUUUUGAAUACUGAAUUAUGAUGAGUCAGCAGUUUUGAAUACUGAACCAUGAUGAGUCAGCAAUUUUGAAUACUGAACCAUGAUGAGUCAGCAGUUUUGAAUAUUUAACCAUAAUGAGACAGUAGUUUUGAAUACUGAAUUAUGAUGAGUCAGCAGUUUUGAAUACUGAACCAUGAUGAGUCAGCAAGUUUAAAUACUUAACCUUGAUGAAUCAGCAAAUUGGAAUACUAAACUAUGAUAAUUCAUUAAUUUCAAAUACUGAACUAUGAUGAGUCACCAAGUUUAAUACUGAACCAUGAUGGGUAAGCCUUUUUAAUGCUUAAUUAUGAGGAGUCAGCAAUAUUUGAUACUGAACCAUGAUGAGUCAGUAUUUUUUUUAAUACUGAAAACAUGAUAUUUCAUUAUUUUUUAUUACUGAACAAUGAUGAAUGGGCAAUUUUGAGUUCUCAGCAUUGAUAAGAAAGCAGCUUUGAGUACUGAAUAAUGUGAGUGGUUUUGAGUACUGAAAUGCCAUGUUUAUGCAAAACAUGUAUUGUAAUUAUUUGAGCCACAUUCUGUGAAAAAGGGGAUUAAUGCAUGUGCGUAAAGUGUCGUCCCAGAUAAGCCUGUGCAAUUAGCUGUGCACAGGCUUAUCAGGGACAAAACUUUCCGAUUAAACGGGAUUUUUGCCAAGAAGAGACUUUCUUUAAACAGAAAAUAUCAGAAAAGCAGAAAGUGUCAGCCCUGAUUGGCCUGUGCGGAAUACAGGCUAAUCUGUGCCGACUGAACAGGCUAAUCUGGGACGACACCUUACGCACAUGCAUUAAACCCCCUUUUCACAGAGCAUGGCACAUAUGUAUCAUACAGUUUGUGUUCUUAUGUAUUUUAAUACUGGCAGUAUGCUUGCCUAAACUUGUGUAUGGCUUUGCAGUUUUUAAAAUCCAUAUGUGUUCUGAUUUAUUCAUUCUUGUAUCUUUUGAAAAUCAUCAGUCAGCAUCAUGCAUCAUUUGUUUCUUAUUGUUGAAUAUUCAUUUUAUGAUUCCAGUCAACAAAUACAAUACAUGAAACAAUUUUCUGGUGCUGGGUAAAGUAACCACAGGUUUGUCAUGUAGUUGACUGUACAUGUUGUGAUGUAGUUUUACUAUAAAUAAGAUGAAAACAUAUUUUUAAAAGGCACGUUAUUUAUUGCGGUUUGUACAGGACAACUAAACUAUUGGUACAGGCAAAUAAUACAAUAAUCUGCUAGUCCAAUGGGACAAGUCUUUUUUUAAUAUACUAGUACUUAAAUUGGUCUUAAAAAGCCAGUAUGUGGUUUCAAAUUAACCUACAAAACAUUGUGUUAACCUGUUACUGCAUUCUUACACACUAUACCAUAUUGUUGAUAAGGGAAAAAUGCAUAUUCAUUUCCCAAAACUGUUGCAGUGUGUUCCCUUAUGUUUUGUAUAACCCUUUGCAUGCUGGGAAAUUUGUCGUCUGCUAAAAUGUCGUCUGCUGAAUUUCUAAAAUAAGCAUUUUCUUCAUUUUUUUUCAAAGAAUACUAUCAGAAUAGCAAACAGUUUGGAUCCAGAUGAGACGCCACGUUCAUCUGGAUCCAAACUGUUUGCAAAGGCCUUUAAAAUUCGGUUCCCGCACUGAAAGGGUUAACAACGUCAUAUUCGGUUUUGUUAAAUAAAUAGUUGUGUAUGCACAGUAAUUGACAGUUAAAAUAUUGCUGCUGGUAUAUCAAAUGUGACUCAUGUGAUCUAUGUUAGAGUAAAUUAAUAGUUUUCAAUAUCA